GCCGCGGUGGUGGAACGGUAGACACGGCGGACUCAAAAUCCGCUGCCCGCAAGGGCGUGAGAGUUCGAAUCUCUCCCGCGGUA
RNAcentral lists this transfer RNA (83 nucleotides) under Actinomycetota bacterium. RNAcentral describes it as "tRNA-Leu". It matches the Rfam family "tRNA". Rfam says of the family: Transfer RNA (tRNA) molecules are approximately 80 nucleotides in length. The record is from RNAcentral. Lineage: Bacteria; Bacillati; Actinomycetota.